Phocoena sinus (vaquita) is the source of this 2452-nucleotide long non-coding RNA. Lineage: Eukaryota; Metazoa; Chordata; Mammalia; Artiodactyla; Phocoenidae. The record is from Ensembl.
GAGACAGGCGGGCGCGCGCUAGGCUGACUGAAGAGCGCGGGCGGGCCUGCCGGCUCGAGGUGGGCGGCGACGGCGGCGACCUCCAUCUUCCGGCCCGUGCUCCCGCCGCCUCCUGCCUGCGCCUGUCAGGCCCGCUUGGCUCUCGAGGCCCCUCCCCGCCGAGGCCCUGAGGAAAGCCUCGAGAGCCUUCCAGAACCUUCCAUGGCCUGAGGCGCCUGAGAGAGCUCCCUGCGGCUACCCUGGGUAGACCCCCACCUCGCUGCCACGCCUCACCCCGGGCACUAGGACUCUUCUCCAUCUUCGUCAUCCUGAGAAUGUUCUACAGAAGCGACAGUGCAGCACGGAACCUUUGGAGUUAAUUAAAAGGGAGAUUAUCCUGGCUGGGCCAGCCAGAUCGAAGGAGCCAUUUAGAAGAGAAAGAAGACUGGGUUCUCCCGGAGGCUGCAGAGGCUCUCCUGUGGUCCAUGGGGUAGGAAGAUGCCAUGCGUUAUGCAGCUCCCAGGUAAGGAACUCAGCCAACAACCUGUGAACUUGGAAGAGGCCCCAGCCUCGGAUGCAACACAGUCCCAGGGGACACCUGGAUCACCACCAGGGGACCCUAGCAGAACACCCAGCCACACGUUCCCGGCCUUUGACCCACAGAAACUUUCAGAUGGUGUUGUUUUAAGCUGCCAUUUGUGGUAACCUGCUGCAGUGCAGGCGUCCCUUGGUCCACUGAGGCAGAGUUCCCAAGUUCCCUCUCCCGCCUUCCUCCGUUUCUGUUCUCUCCAGGGCCACCUCCCCCUCUAGUCCCAGCUCAAGUUUCGUGAAACCCUCCCUGGGAGCCCAGCCCAGGGAGCGGGUUCUCCCUGGGAGCCCACGGCUGGUCUGAACCUAAAGCAUGGUGGUCACUGGCACUGUUCCCGUCUGUUAGGUUCUCUCUCCUCCAUAGGGCACGUCCUGCCCACUUGAUGCAGACGUGGUCAGGGCGCUUGCUUUGGCUGAUGAAGUGUGAGCAGAGCACCGUGGCCAGCAUGCAUGUCCCCUCAUCCCCUUUCUGUCCACCCUGGGGACCGGCUCUGCCCCGCCAGCCGGGCCCAGGAGUAAGGAGGAUGGUGAUACACAGAUGAGCGCCACCAGCUCUGGCGGACAGCUGGUGGAUGAGUUCCCGUGGCUGCAAACAGUGACAUCCCUGACCCCACACUUCCGGAGACAUCUGAGAUCGAGGUGUGGGCUGCGCUGGUUCUUUCUGGGGGCUUGAGGGAGAAUCUGCCCCACACCCCUCUCCCCGCUACUGGGGGCUCUGGCAAUCCUUGACUUGUGGACACAUCCUUCCCCUCCCUGCCUCCAUCUUCACAUGGCUUUUUCUCCCUGCCAGGUGUCCCUGUGUCUCCUCUUACAUGGACACCAGCUGUUGGAUUUAGGGCCCACCCUAAUCCAGUACGGCUUCAUCUCAACUAAUUACAUCAGCACAGACCCUAUGUCCAAAUAAGAUCACAUUCUGAGGUUCUGGGUGGACCUGAAUUUGGGGGGGGGGGGAUGAUGUUCAACCAAGUCCCACUAGUGUCUGUGAGAAACGAACCUUAGUUGUUUAUAGAUGCUGAGCUGCGGGGUGUUUGUCACUGCAGCACCACCGUCCGAAGCCUUGCUGAUUUACGCUGUAAUGUAAUUAUUUGUCUACAUACUCGUCUACCCGAGACGCUGACCUCCCACUGACAAGAGACAGUGUGUGUUUCGUUACUGUAUCGUAGAGGAUGGUUGGGGAAAAAAUUAAUUUUACCAGCUGGUAUCAGAACUCAUUUUAGAGACCGACUGGGCUUGUUUAGGAAAAUACCGUAAUUAGUAUUAGGGGACGGUGAGCGAGGCCCUGAGGACGUGAGAUGAAAGGGCCCACAGGGAGACAGCUAAACUCUGCAUGAGAAAAUAGCUGCAUCCUGGAGGAGAGGGAAAGGAGCCACGAGAGGUGGGGACCCGUGGAGAUCAAGAGACAGAGAGACACGGCGGGAGACGGCGGAGCAGGUUGGGGUCAGGGACCUCCGACAUCCCAUUCGCGGGCCUCAAGCCACGAGGCGGGAUUGGCCUGAGCCUUGAGGAGCUGGAACAGCUAAGCUAAAGCAGAGAACUGGCCUGCCCGGCCCAGCCCAGCAGCCUGCUGGGGCCCAGCUGCCCGGCGCCCCGGGCAGCACCUGGAAGGCGCGCGGCACAACCGGGUCCAGCAAAGAUGAAUGCUAGCGUGGUUGCUGGAAGGCGCCCGCGGUUCACAAGAAACCCAAGGAGAGCCAAGCUAAUUAAAACAAGGAGACCCUAAUGUGCCCAGGUCCCCACAGAGCCGAGGCCCAGCUCACCUGGUACUGCCGUCAGCCAGACGUGGGCGCAGGGCCGAACUGGAGGGAGGGCACGUGGGCUAACGUCAUGUUCUUUGGCUCUGUCUGGCUGCCUCAGGCCGGUAUUACUUCCGUGUUGUUCUGUUUUU